Molecule: long non-coding RNA, 1318 nt
Organism: Lolium perenne
Lineage: Eukaryota; Viridiplantae; Streptophyta; Magnoliopsida; Poales; Poaceae
Source: RefSeq, a predicted model, not a curated record
CAUAGGCAGGCCAGGCACAAUCCCUAAUCUCUUCCCCAGAAAUCUCGUCUCUACAUUGCUCCCGUACUGUCGCGUCUUCGCCAAAAAUCUCUCUCCGCAUCCGCCCAUUGACCUCAGAUUUAGUCCAGCCAGCACCGCCAGCCCCACUCUGCGGCAGUCUGCACGCCAUGGAUCCCAGUAACAUGUACGCGUCGUUCCCAUCUGCAUCCCCUGUCGACGGGGCCGUCGCGUAGUCCCCCGUCUUCUUCCAAUGGGGGCGCCACGAAUCGACGAUGCGUGAGGGGUUCGCGAGGGCGCUGGUGCCCUGCUACCCAAUUGUGGGCCGCAUCGCGCAGGCGUGCCCGGGCGAUCUCGUGGUGGACUUCACCAGCGAGCGGCGAGGGCAUCUGGUUCGUGGAGGUCAUCGCGAGCUGCUAGCUCGCGGACGUCAACGGCGUCGAGCGCCGGCUGCUCAUCCACAAGGCGGAGCUGAUCCCCACCUUUCCCCGAGGAGAACCUUGAGGACCUCAUCCUCAUGACCCAGCUGUACCGUUGGAUUGGCUCUGUGUUUGGAGCACUGGGCAGAGUUAUGCUAUGCAUCACCGUUCUGUCUCAAGCGGGUGCUCCUGAAAAGACGCCGGUGCCAAGUAGACGGAGUGAGGAUAUGAAGGUGCUCCUAAGAAGACACCAACGCCGAGCAACGGGAGCAAGGAUAUGCUGGUGGCCAUGGGAAUACACCGCUGCCGAGCUGCGGGAGUGAGGAUAUACUUUUUUUGAACCUGCAAUGGCCAAAAUCGAUGGUGAGCAUGAUAUAUAAUUAUGGGAGAGAGAUACACGUGGGUGGUCCCAGGAGGGAAAAGUGGAAAGAGAGUAUCACAUGGAGGAAACUGCACAGCCGGUUGUGAAGCAAAAGUUCCUGUGGAGCCUCCACUGGUUGAAGCGGGGCAACCGGCUCUACCCGGUGCCAAUCGGGAGCACGUGGGGGGCAGAAGCUAGUCAAACUGGGCCCUUGAGGGCUGUCAAAUCGAGUUUUUCAGGGUCUUGGUGAGGCUUUUCAGGGUCUAGAAAAGCCCACUUUGAACCCAGAUGCAUGUAUGGCCACCAAUGAGCCACGUAUGCUAGAAUAAAUGCUACUGUAGGUAAUUAUGCUAUCUACAGUGCUUGAAACGCUCAGGGAGCGUGAAACAGUCCAUCCUUUAUAUAGGGUAUAAUUCCUUGCAAAGGGUUAGACCUCUUGGAAAAAAAAUUAUGUGUCUAUGACAACUAUGACAUGUAUGCAAUGUCUAUAGAGAUUUCAUGUGUUUUUCCUAUAGUGCAAUCAAAAGACUUCCGCAACUAA